GCAUAUAAGUAAGCGGAGGAAAAGGAACUAAAUAGGAUUCCCUUAGUAAUGGCGAAUGAACAGGGAUAAGCUUAGGCUUGUAACCAGAGCUUCGGCUUUGGGUUGUAGCCUGCAGACACCUCGCUAUCGGUGGCUCGAGCGGAAGCCUCUUGGAACAGAGCGUGUGCCCGGGUGAGAAUCCUGCGUGUCGCUUGAUGCCCGCUGUAUACGGCUGGUGCUCUCAGAGUCACGCUCCUUGGAAUUGGAGCGUAAAUUAGGUGGUAAAUUUCAUCUAAAGCGAAAUACAGGCUUGAGACCAAUAGUGAACAAGUACCAUGAGGGAAAGAUGAAAAGGACUUUGGAAAGAGAGUUAAAAGUGCUUGAAAUUGCUGAGAGGGAAGCGAAUGGAACCACAUGUCUUGCUGAGAUUGCUGUAGAUCUUUGCAAACUUUGGGUGCAGAAGCGCGAGUUCUGUGCUUAUCUGGGAGUAAAGGGAUGCAGUGUUUCUUAGCUUGCGCGUCGCCUCCUGCGCCUGUUUGAGGAUGGCCUUCAGUGUGCAUGGUCUUUUUGUGAAGUGGCCUCUGCACUUUGUGGGAUUCAGACAGGCGCGGUUAGCUGAUGGAGUGGUUUUUUUCGACCCGUCUUGAAACACGGACCAAGGAGUCUAGCACGCGCGCAAGUUCUCGGGUAGCAAGCCUGAAUGCGCAAUGAAGGUGAUUGCUGGGAUUUUGCACCGGCGACCGACCGAUCAAUUGGGAGAAGUUUGAGUUUGAGCACGUGUGUUAGGACCCGAAAGAUGGUGAACCAUGCCUGCGAAGGGCAAAGUC
RNAcentral lists this ribosomal RNA (806 nucleotides) under uncultured Symbiodiniaceae. Its description in RNAcentral is "partial 28S ribosomal RNA". It matches the Rfam family "Eukaryotic large subunit ribosomal RNA", at positions 38 to 853 of the family's 3401-position model. Lineage: Eukaryota; Dinophyceae; Suessiales. The record is from RNAcentral.